This 377-nucleotide ribosomal RNA is filed under the name uncultured bacterium. RNAcentral's name for it is "bacterial SSU rRNA". It matches the Rfam family "Bacterial small subunit ribosomal RNA", at positions 523 to 898 of the family's 1533-position model. The record is from RNAcentral.
AUACGGAGGUUGCAAGCGUUGUUCGGAAUGACUGGGCGUAAAGGGAGCGCAGGCGGCCAGGUCAGUCGGAAGUGAAAGCCCGGGGCUUAACCCCGGAAUUGCUUUGGAUACUGCCUGGCUUGAGUAUGCGAUAGGAAAGUGGAAUUCCAGGUGUAGCGGUGAAAUGCGUAGAUAUCUGGAGGAACACCGGUGGCGAAAGCGGCUUUCUGGCGCAUAACUGACGCUGAGGCUCGAAAGCGUGGGGAGCGAACGGGAUUAGAUACCCCGGUAGUCCACGCCGUAAACGUUGUGCACUAGGUGUGGGAGGUAUCGACCCCUUCCGUGCCGAAGCUAACGCAUUAAGUGCACCGCCUGGGGAGUACGGUCGCAAGACUGAA